CUUGUGCAACAUGGCUGCAGCAAAAUUUACUUCCCUCCCCCUGCUAAAACUAGUUCAAGAUUUCUCAGCAGAACUGCCAAAACUGAAUUUUGAAAGGCAAAAUAAAGUAUAUUGGGAAAUGCCGAGUCAGCACAAGAUCUUGCGCACACCACCCUUACCCCUUCCCAUCCCAUGAGGGCACUGGAACGACAACAGCAGCGGUGAUUCCUGGUGGGAAGUAUAGGCUAAGGCGGCAGUGGGGCUACUCUGUGUUACCACUCUCAGUGGGCUACCACUGGCAAGCACCUGCCUCCUUGAACUGUCCAGGAUGCUACUACCAUACUUCGAAGAAAUCAUCAUAUGUUUUCCCUUUCUGCUUUGCUUUAUUUGUGUCCUCCAUCUGCAAUUACAACUCUCUAUUACUGGAUCACAUAAAACCACUCCUAUUUAUUAUAAUUAUACUAAAUGCCGCCUUCUGCAGC
Molecule: long non-coding RNA, 461 nt
Organism: Chroicocephalus ridibundus (black-headed gull)
Lineage: Eukaryota; Metazoa; Chordata; Aves; Charadriiformes; Laridae
Exons: 3
Source: RefSeq, a predicted model, not a curated record